RNAcentral lists this ribosomal RNA (515 nucleotides) under uncultured bacterium. Its description in RNAcentral is "partial 16S ribosomal RNA". It matches the Rfam family "Bacterial small subunit ribosomal RNA", at positions 28 to 523 of the family's 1533-position model. The record is from RNAcentral.
GACGAACGCUGGCGGCGUGCCUAAUACAUGCAAGUCGAACGCUUCCUACCGGUGCUUGCACCGGGAAAGAAGAGUGGCGGACGGGUGAGUAACACGUGGGUAACCUACCUACAAGCGGGGGAUAACAUUCGGAAACGGAUGCUAAUACCGCAUAGAUCUUUUUGUCUCCUGGCAGAAAGAAGAAAGACGGUUUCGGCUGUCACUUGUAGAUGGACCCGCGGCGCAUUAGUUAGUUGGUGAGGUAAUGGCUCACCAAGACGAUGAUGCGUAGCCGACCUGAGAGGGUGAUCGGCCACACUGGGACUGAGACACGGCCCAGACUCCUGCGGGAGGCAGCAGUAGGGAAUCUUCCGCAAUGGACGAAAGUCUGACGGAGCAACGCCGCGUGAGUGAAGAAGGUUUUCGGAUCGUAAAACUCUGUUGUUAGAGAAGAACAAGGAUGAGAGUAACUGCUCGUCCCUUGACGGUACCUAACCAGAAAGCCAUGGCUAACUACGUGCCAGCCGCCGCAGUAA